Molecule: long non-coding RNA, 215 nt
Filed under: Gallus gallus (chicken)
Lineage: Eukaryota; Metazoa; Chordata; Aves; Galliformes; Phasianidae
Source: RNAcentral
CUGGCUUUUGUAUAACUGCAUUACAGGCGUUGGCAAUUUCUUCUCUCUUUGCCUCGUCAGGAUAUUGAUUCUCAUUGAAGUAACUUUCCAUCACAGCCAGGCAUUCCUUUCUCCAUGUGAACCGACUGCCUCGCCGUAGUCUGAAGGUCCCAGAGGUAGCUGUGACUGGGGGAGGCGUCUGUCUCCAUUCUGGCUCUUCUAUUGGGAUGGGAGCG